Alosa alosa (allis shad) is the source of this 70-nucleotide small nucleolar RNA. The record is from RefSeq and is a predicted model, not a curated record. Lineage: Eukaryota; Metazoa; Chordata; Actinopteri; Clupeiformes; Clupeidae.
UUGGAUGUGACGACAAACUUCCUUCCUUGAGUGUCCGUGAUGCUUGAAGUAUUCAUACUGUCUGAUCCUG